RNAcentral lists this transfer RNA (85 nucleotides) under Pseudomonadales bacterium. Its description in RNAcentral is "tRNA-Leu". It matches the Rfam family "tRNA". From Rfam's summary of the family: Transfer RNA (tRNA) molecules are approximately 80 nucleotides in length. Their secondary structure includes four short double-helical elements and three loops (D, anti-codon, and T loops). Further hydrogen bonds mediate the characteristic L-shaped molecular structure. tRNAs have two regions of fundamental functional importance: the anti-codon, which is responsible for specific mRNA codon recognition, and the 3' end, to which the tRNAs corresponding amino acid is attached (by aminoacyl-tRNA synthetases). tRNAs cope with the degeneracy of the genetic code in two manners: having more than one tRNA (with a specific anti-codon) for a particular amino acid; and 'wobble' base-pairing, i.e. permitting non-standard base-pairing at the 3rd anti-codon position. The record is from RNAcentral. RNAcentral also lists the same sequence under 1 other name. Lineage: Bacteria; Pseudomonadati; Pseudomonadota; Gammaproteobacteria; Pseudomonadales.
GCCCGGGUGGUGGAAUUGGUAGACACGCUACCUUGAGGUGGUAGUGGCGCAAGCUGUGCCGGUUCGAGUCCGGCCUCGGGUACCA